CACCAUCUCCUCUCCCUCUCUCUCUCUCUAGGCCGAUCGUGAGCACGGUUGAGGACUUCGUCGCCGACGUCGCGCCGCGAGCCGUUCGAGCGCACGUGUUGCCGGGGCGCUGCGAGGAGGCCGGGCGAGGGUGCGUCUUCGCCGUUCCUGUCGCCGCACCGCCGUUCAUCGCUGUUGAGAUUUCCUGCGUCGACUGUUAGUAUUUCGGCUCGUUCUCCGCGUAGGAGCGUCGGAUCGCGACGAAACUUGGUUCAUUGGAUUCUAGACUGCGAGAGGAUUCCACAGAGCCCUCAUUUGCAAUUUUUGGACAAGCUUGGCGUUGGCUUGGCGACCGGACUUGGAGAUCCCCGAUUGAUCCAGCAGAGUUCCUUCUAGGCCGAGGCUUCGUUUGCUGCCAGGAGAUAGCACUUUAGAGCCACAGGUUCAGGCUGCUGCUUCCUCUGCUGAGCAGGAUCGUGGCAAGGGCGUCGCGAGCUAGAGCCCUACCAGACUGAUCGAGUUAGAGGCGUCCUCCCCUUACAGCAGGUAGUGAUUUUUCUUUUGGAGCUUUUGUACAUAGCAGUUGAACUCGCCAGUGCGAGUGGUUUUGUACUUGGGAUUUGUGACUAUGUAUAAAA
This is a long non-coding RNA of Ananas comosus (pineapple), 617 nucleotides long. RefSeq lists it as uncharacterized. The transcript is spliced from 4 exons. NCBI's taxonomy places the organism in Eukaryota, Viridiplantae, Streptophyta, Magnoliopsida, Poales, Bromeliaceae. The record is from RefSeq and is a predicted model, not a curated record.